AUGGGACGCGAAGAAAUAAAGUCCAUUUUUGUUGAAUUAAGUCAUGUAGACAAAAGUAAUAGGGAUAAAGGAAUUGAUAUACUUUAUGAUUAUAUAAAAGAAAAUAAUAAAAAGUUAAACUGUAAAAAACUAUUAUAUCUUUGUAAAGGACUUUUUUAUUAUUAUUGGCUUUGCUAUUCUAUGGAAGAGCAAAAAAAGGCAUCAUUAAAAAUUUGUAAAUUAAUAUAUCAAUUUGAUGAUGAAAAGGAAGAUAAUAAAAAAAAAGUAUUUUUAUUUUUCAGAUGUUUUGUAACUAUUAUGGCAAAAAAGUAUGACAAUUUAGAUAUUCAUAGAUUGAAUAAAUUUUUAUUUUUAUUACGAGUAUUUCAAGCUGAAUAUUUUAUGUUUUUAAAUAAAUAUUCAUGGGCUAUUAAAUAUAUUAAAAUAUAUAAUAAAAUGUUUUUAAAAGCAUUUGAUGAUAGCAAUGAGUUAUUUUACACCUAUAUAGAUACAUUUUUUAAAGAAUUUUUUGAAAAUGAAAAAUUUUUAAAAUCAAAAGGUAAACAAAACAACUACAAUACAAAACAGUUUUUGUUGUUGGUUGAUCCUUUUUUUCAAAUUAUUUGUACUACAGACAAUUUUUAUAUUAUAAAAAUUAUAAACCAAAAAAUUUUCUCUAUUAUAUCAAACAUGAAAGAUAUAGAUAAAAAUAUGUUAUUAAAAAAAAUUAACAAAUAUAUGUUAAAAUGUAGAAAUAAACAUAGCUCAAAGGUUUUAAAUAAAUAUUACUUAUUAUUAUUUAAUAAAAAUAAAAACAAGAAUAAUAUUAGUGGCAUUAGUGACGUUAGUGGUAUUAGUGGAAUUAAUGGCAUUAGUGACAAUGAUAAUAAAAUUAUAAUAAAAAAAAACGCACCAAUUUUUAUAGAAACUGAUAAUAAACUUUCUAAUAAUGAUAGUGUUAUAAUUGAUAGUAUUACAAAUGGUGAUAAAAAAAUAUCAAUAGAGAAUAGAAGCAUGGGAGAAGUUUUAACAGGAUUAAAAUAUAAAAUAGAAAAUGUAACAAAAAUAGAGAGUAAAGACGACAAUAACAAAUCCAUAUUUGAUAUUAGUACCAGUGAUUUAAAUAAAAAUGUAGCUGGUAGUAGUAUAUGUAGUAACAUGUGUGAAAAAAAAAAUAAGAUAGUGAAGAAGAAAAAAAAAGUAAAAGAUGGAAAAAAUACAAAAGGGAAAUCUGAUUGUGCUAUUUUUAUUAACAAAAACAUGAAUAAAAAAUGUAAAAAAAAAUUAAAUAAAACAAAUAAAAAAAAAAAAAAAAAAAAAAAAAAAAAAAAAAAAAAAAAAAAAAAAAAAAAAAAACAAUUAAUGACACAUAUAAAAUGUGAAUUGUAUAUGAGUAAAUAUGGUAUAAAAAAAUAAGAAGUUUCUUAUUUAAAUCUUGAAAAAAAUAAAAAUGGAUUAUUUAAAAUUAUUUUUAAAAGU
Molecule: long non-coding RNA, 1458 nt
Filed under: Piliocolobus tephrosceles (Ugandan red Colobus)
Lineage: Eukaryota; Metazoa; Chordata; Mammalia; Primates; Cercopithecidae
Description: lncRNA (ENSPTEG00000004837.1)
Source: RNAcentral